CCUACGGGAGGCUGCAGUGGGGAAUAUUGGGCAAUGGGCGCAAGCCUGAUCCAGCAACGCCGCGUGAAGGAAGAAGGCUUUCGGGUUGUAAACUUCUUUUCUCAGGGACGAAGAAAGUGGCGGUACCUGAGGAAUAAGCCACGGCUAACUACGUGCCAGCCGCCGCGUUAAUACGUAGGUGGCAAGCGUUAUCCGGAUUUAUUGGGUGAAAAGGGUGCGUAGGUGGUUGCUUACGUCAGAGGUGAAAGGCUACGGCUCAACCGUAGUAAGCCGUUGAAACUGGGGAACUUGAGUGCAGGAGAGGAAGGUGGAAUUCCUGGUGUAGCGGUGAAAUGCGUAGAUAUCAGGAGGAACACCAGUGGCGAAGGCGGCUCUCUGGACUGUAACUGACGCUGAGGCACGAAAGCGUGGGGAGCAAACAGGAUUAGAUACCCUUGUAGUC
This 442-nucleotide ribosomal RNA is filed under the name uncultured bacterium. RNAcentral's name for it is "partial 16S ribosomal RNA". It matches the Rfam family "Bacterial small subunit ribosomal RNA", at positions 338 to 795 of the family's 1533-position model. The record is from RNAcentral.